This 82-nucleotide transfer RNA is filed under the name Aspergillus nidulans. RNAcentral describes it as "tRNA-Leu". It matches the Rfam family "tRNA". Rfam says of the family: Transfer RNA (tRNA) molecules are approximately 80 nucleotides in length. Their secondary structure includes four short double-helical elements and three loops (D, anti-codon, and T loops). Further hydrogen bonds mediate the characteristic L-shaped molecular structure. tRNAs have two regions of fundamental functional importance: the anti-codon, which is responsible for specific mRNA codon recognition, and the 3' end, to which the tRNAs corresponding amino acid is attached (by aminoacyl-tRNA synthetases). tRNAs cope with the degeneracy of the genetic code in two manners: having more than one tRNA (with a specific anti-codon) for a particular amino acid; and 'wobble' base-pairing, i.e. permitting non-standard base-pairing at the 3rd anti-codon position. Lineage: Eukaryota; Fungi; Ascomycota; Eurotiomycetes; Eurotiales; Aspergillaceae. The record is from RNAcentral. RNAcentral also lists the same sequence under 1 other name.
GGCAAGGUGGCCGAGUGGUCUAAGGCGCACGGUUCAGGUCCGUGUAUCGAAAGGUGCGUGGGUUCGAAUCCCACCCUUGUCA